GACGAACGCUGGCGGCGUGCCUAAUACAUGCAAGUCGAACGAACCGCUACUAGGCGCUUGCAUUUGGUGAAGGCGAGUGGCGAACGGGUGAGUAACAGGUGGGUAACCUACCUCACAGGGGGGGAUAACAGAAGGAAACGACUGUUAAGACCGCAAAUUACAUAGGAACACAUGAACAAGGAAGGAAAGUUGGCGCAAGCCAUCGAUAAGAGCUGGACCCGCGGUGCAUUAGCUAGUUGGUAGGGUAAAGGCCUACCAAGGCGACGAUGCAUAGCCGACCUGAGAGGGUGAUCGGCCACAUUGGGACUGAGACACGGCCCAAACUCCUACGGGAGGCAGCAGUAGGGAAUCUUCCGCAAAGGGCGCAAGCCUGACGGAGCAACGCCGCGUGAGUGAAGAAGGUCUUCGGAUCGUAAAGCUCUGUUGUUAGGGAAGAACAGCGCAUAGAGUAACUGUUAUGCGUGUGACGGUAUCUAACCAGAAAGCCACGGCUAACUACGUG
Molecule: ribosomal RNA, 502 nt
Filed under: uncultured bacterium
Lineage: Bacteria
Description: partial 16S ribosomal RNA
Rfam family: Bacterial small subunit ribosomal RNA
Source: RNAcentral